GUAGGUGUAGUUCAGUUGGUUAGAACGCCAGGAUGUGGCCCUGGAGGUCGCGGGUUCGAAUCCCGUCACUUACCCCA
Molecule: transfer RNA, 77 nt
Filed under: bacterium
Lineage: Bacteria
Also listed under: 2 other names
Description: tRNA-His
Rfam family: tRNA
About the family: Transfer RNA (tRNA) molecules are approximately 80 nucleotides in length.
Source: RNAcentral